Molecule: ribosomal RNA, 253 nt
Filed under: uncultured bacterium
Lineage: Bacteria
Description: partial 16S ribosomal RNA
Rfam family: Bacterial small subunit ribosomal RNA
Source: RNAcentral
AACGUAGGAGACGAACGUUAUCCGGAGUUACUGGGCGUAAAGGGCGUGCAGGCGGCUUGAUAAGUUCGGCGUGAAAUUUCCCGGCUUAACCGGGGGAUGUCGUCGGAGACUGUCGAGCUAGAGGGUGAUAGAGGCGUGUGGAAUUCCGGGUGUAGUGGUGAAAUGCGUAGAGAUCCGGAGGAACACCAGUGGCGAAGGCGACACGCGGGGUCAUACCGGACGCUAAAACGCGACAGCAUGGGGAGCGAACGGG